UUAAUUCAGUGUGUUGCAUUUUAGGAUACAAAUAGUCGAAACAACUCUCUUCUCCAAGACCAUGAACCCCAACGGGAAGAAAAUUCUGAGAACAUUCCCAGCAGCCUGCAGGCAUGCGGCCUUGAAACACAGACGAGGCAGGAAACAGCAGAGUCCAGUGGUUGCGUGAGUGAUGAAGAUGAAGGCAUAGCCCAGAGACUGUCUACCCAGCCCAGAGGGGUAGUUCUUGUCAGUGAAGAAGAGCUGGCUCAGUUGGCCCAGCUGAAGCCAUCGCUGUCCAAAAGUAUUCUGCAACAUAAUGCGGGGAAUCUGAUCCAGAAACUUCAGAGGCAGAUGGAACAGCAAGAGAUCCUGGCAGAGUUUGUGGUGAGUCCCCCAGGCCAUGGGUCUGAGUGUGGCUGUAGCAGCAGAAACAGGCG
This 419-nucleotide long non-coding RNA is filed under the name Varanus komodoensis (Komodo dragon). Its description in RNAcentral is "lncRNA (ENSVKKG00000004732.1)". Lineage: Eukaryota; Metazoa; Chordata; Lepidosauria; Squamata; Varanidae. The record is from RNAcentral.